This 116-nucleotide non-coding RNA is filed under the name Rhodanobacter spathiphylli. RNAcentral describes it as "Rhodanobacter sp. SAM-I sequence". It matches the Rfam family "SAM riboswitch aptamer (S box leader)". Rfam says of the family: The SAM riboswitch is found upstream of a number of genes which code for proteins involved in methionine or cysteine biosynthesis in Gram-positive bacteria. The SAM riboswitch acts at the level of transcription termination control. The predicted structure consists of a complex stem-loop region followed by a single stem loop terminator region. The record is from RNAcentral. Lineage: Bacteria; Pseudomonadati; Pseudomonadota; Gammaproteobacteria; Lysobacterales; Rhodanobacteraceae.
CACUCAUCGAGACCGGCUGAGGGACAGGCCCUUUGAAGCCGGGGCAACCUGCAGGAGCGAUCCUGCGACGGUGCCAACUCCUGCGGAGCGCCACUGGCGCAACCGGUAGAUGGGGU